RNAcentral lists this ribosomal RNA (477 nucleotides) under uncultured bacterium. RNAcentral describes it as "bacterial SSU rRNA". It matches the Rfam family "Bacterial small subunit ribosomal RNA", at positions 328 to 793 of the family's 1533-position model. The record is from RNAcentral.
UCAGUCGACUCCUACGGGGAGGCAGCAGUGGGGAAUAUUGCACAAUGGGGGAAACCCUGAUGCAGCCAUGCCGCGUGUGUGAAGAAGGCCUUCGGGUUGUAAAGCACUUUCAGUAGGGAGGAAGGUAGUGUAGUUAACACCUGCAUUAUUUGACGUUACCUACAGAAGAAGCACCGGCUAACUCCGUGCCAGCAGCCGCGGUAAUACGGAGGGUGCGAGCGUUAAUCGGAAUUACUGGGCGUAAAGCGCAUGCAGGCGGCCUGUUAAGUCAGAUGUGAAAGCCCGGGGCUUAACCUCGGAAUUGCAUUUGAAACUGGCAGGCUAGAGUCUUGUAGAGGGGGGUAGGAAUUUCAGGUGUAGCGGUGAAAUAGCGUAGAGAUCUGAAGGAAUACCAGUGGCGAAGGCGGCCCCCUCGGACAAAGACUGACGCUCAGAUGCGAAAGCGUGGGGAGCAAACAGGAUUAGAUACCCUGGUAG